AGACACAUCGAUGAAAAAACUUUGGUACAUGAACCUAACCUGAUAUUUCUGAGUUUAAGUGAUAUAUUGCAAUUAUUACUGUUUUUGAUAUCAUUGUUCUCUUAGGGAGUUCAUAUAUGCUGUGCCAUGAAUUUGAUAAUUACAUGUUGGGUCUAUGGGAUUUUUAUGUGAAAUUAAAUAUAUACAUUGGAAUGUUGUAUGCAUACUGUUACCCUUCAAAAUACUGUUUCAAUAGAUCUGAAAAUUUUGAAGCCUAUACUUAUUGAUACUUGAGCCAUCACAUAUUUGGAACUCUUCUCUUAUAAAGGUGAAAGCUUCUAAACCAAAUUUAAAUCAACCAUAUUUAAGAUAUUAUAAGAUGCAGUGGAUUGCUGUUGUAUGGGAUGUAUUGAAACUUACUAUAAAAGAAAGGGCUUAUGGAAACUUAAUGCCAGAGUUGGCAAACAGGGGUAGAACUUCUAUUUAGAACUGUAAAAUUUCUCUUUAGAACUUAGAACAUAGUUUAAAGGCCUUGCUUAGAAUUAAAUAAAAUUUGAAGAAUAUGUGAAAGAUCUAAACCUUGUAACAACGUCAAGCAAGCAUUAAAACUCAAACAAGCAUGCAACUGUCAAUGCCAUAAUCUUGUAGUAUACAGCGUUAAAAGUCAAAUGAGCAUGAACUUUCCAUUAUUGACACUUUGGAUGAACAUUGUACAUCUUAUGAUUGCAAGAAUACUAAACAUAUAACUGUUUUAUACCUAGUGUUGAAACUGAUGUAGGACCAGACCUAUAAUUGCUAGAGCAGUCCAAAGUCCAAACUUCUAGAUGACCUGAUAAAAAAUAUCAAUAUAGUUAGCCUUUAUGUAGCAAUUUAUAUCAAAUUAUCAAUAUACUUUACAGGCCUUUUGUUAGAAUUCCAAGUCAAAUAGAAUUAGGAUUUAAUUAAUGAAAAUUAAAAAAAAAAGGAUUUGAGAGUUUGAAAUUCAGUCAAACAUUGAAUUGAAGCUGGAGUAGGAAAAGAAAGUUCAAUUUGGACUUCUUGUGUUUCAUCCACUAGUGCCCUAUAUAAUGUGGAGUGGCCAUAAUUUGUAGUUUUGUACAAGUUAAUGAGUGCCGUACAUGGCCAUUGCGUGAGGUUUAUUUCUUUUGAAGAAUAGUGUAGUAGAAAGCAGUAAGGGUCACAAUUGUGGAGGGUGAUUUGUGAGAGAUUUUGAGGUAGAAAAAUAAUUAGUAUUUGUAA
RNAcentral lists this unclassified non-coding RNA (1218 nucleotides) under Hevea brasiliensis (rubber tree). Lineage: Eukaryota; Viridiplantae; Streptophyta; Magnoliopsida; Malpighiales; Euphorbiaceae. The record is from RNAcentral.